Molecule: long non-coding RNA, 237 nt
Organism: Drosophila arizonae
Lineage: Eukaryota; Metazoa; Arthropoda; Insecta; Diptera; Drosophilidae
Source: RefSeq, a predicted model, not a curated record
AGAGACAGAAAAAAACAAAAAAUAAAAAGAAAAAAUAACAAUCAUUUCAAUGUUCACAACCGAAACCCAACCAGUAAACCCAAACGAUUUCAGUUUAUUUGAGGAAAGCGCAGCAAAACAAUUGUAAAUUUAAGUGCAUUUAAUUUAACUUUAACGACAGCUUAAAUUUCAUUUAUGUUAAACCAGUUCAAGCACUACAUCCGUAAUAAAGUGUGACAGUUUAUGGAAAAUACUAAA